Molecule: ribosomal RNA, 253 nt
Filed under: uncultured bacterium
Lineage: Bacteria
Description: partial 16S ribosomal RNA
Rfam family: Bacterial small subunit ribosomal RNA
Source: RNAcentral
UACAGAGACUGCAAGCGUUAUUCGGAUUCACUGGGCGUAAAGGGUGCGCAGGCGGCCGAGUGUGUUAGGCGUGAAAGCCUGGGGCUUAACCCCAGAAUUGCACCUAAAACUACACGGCUAGAGCAUUGGAGAGGGUAGCGGAAUUCACGGUGUAGCAGUGAAAUGCGUAGAUAUUGGGAGGAACACCGGUGGCGAAGGCAGCCCCCUGGGUCGAUACUGACGCUCAUGCACGAAAGCGUGGGGAGCAAACAGG